RNAcentral lists this ribosomal RNA (1074 nucleotides) under Triticum aestivum (bread wheat). RNAcentral's name for it is "partial small subunit ribosomal RNA". Lineage: Eukaryota; Viridiplantae; Streptophyta; Magnoliopsida; Poales; Poaceae. The record is from RNAcentral.
AUGGAGGUGGGCGACCUGCACAAGGUGUGGGAGAUCCGGGCGCUCAAGCGGAAGCCCGAGGAGCCGGCCGCCCGCGCGCUCCUCGACCGCGUCGCCAAGCAGGUCCAGCCCAUCAUGCGCCGCCGCAAGUGGCGCGUCAAGGUCCUCUCCGAGUUCUCGCCGAAGAACCCGAGGCUGCUGGGGCUCAACGUCAACCGGGGCGUCGAGGUGAAGCUGCGGCUCCGGCGCGACGGCCGCGACCUCGACUUCAUCCCCUACGAGGAGGUGCUCGACACCAUGCUCCACGAGCUCGCGCACAACGCGCGCGGGCCCCACGACGCGCAGUUCUACAAGCUCUGGGACGAGCUGCGCAAGGAAUGUGAAGAACUUGUUGCAAAGGGUAUCACGGGGCCAGGACAAGGGUUUGAUGGUACAGGCAGGCGAUUAGGUGGAUUUUCAAUACAUCCACCACCACCAUCUCUCCGACAAGCUACACUAACUGCAGCACAGAAACGGGCAAGGAAUGGAGCUCUAUUGCCGUCCGGCCCAAGAAAGUUGGGUGGAAACAAUGCCAUCAUGAGUGCUCUUAGUCCAGUACAAGCUGCUGCCAUGGCUGCUGAAAGGAGGAUGCAGGAUGACUUGUGGUGCGGAUCUCAUAAUGAUUCUGGUAUUGAUGAUUCAGAAGAUGUUGUUAUUCUUGAGCAACCACCUAACUUGACAACAAGGGAUGGAAAAAACACAAAGCGUGCAAAAAACACAAGGUGUGAUUCUUCUAGCAGUUCUGCAGAACCCAGCACUUCGUCUGGAUCUCAAGUUCCAGCACGAGCUGAUUCCUCUUCUGGUAGAACGACUGGUGCGGACUUCAGUUCUAUGUGGGAGUGUAGUGCUUGCACUCUUCUUAAUCAGCCUCUGGCACCAAUUUGUGAAGUUUGUGGGACAGCGAAACCUAAAAUUGCAAAAGCCAAGUAUGCAUCUUGGUCCUGUAAAUUCUGCACUCUGGAGAACUGCACUAAGCUUGAUAAAUGUUCGGCAUGCGAUCAAUGGAGGUACUCAUAUGGACCACCUGUAGCCACAUAUGGUCCAAGCUACGAUUGA